Molecule: ribosomal RNA, 700 nt
Filed under: uncultured bacterium
Lineage: Bacteria
Description: bacterial SSU rRNA
Rfam family: Bacterial small subunit ribosomal RNA
Source: RNAcentral
AGAGUUUGAUCAUGGCUCAGAUUCGAAUAGCUGGCGGCAUGCUUUACACAUGCAAGUCGAACGGUAACAGGUCUUCGGAUGCUGACGAGUGGCGAACGGGUGAGUAAUGCAUCGGAACGUGCCCAGUCGUGGGGGAUAACGCAGCGAAAGCUGUGCUAAUACCGCAUACGAUCUAUGGAUGAAAGCGGGGGAUCGCAAGACCUCGCGCGAUUGGAGCGGCCGAUGUCAGAUUAGCUAGUUGGUGGGGUAAAGGCCCACCAAGGCGACGAUCUGUAGCUGGUCUGAGAGGACGACCAGCCACACUGGGACUGAGACACGGCCCAGACUCCUACGGGAGGCAGCAGUGGGGAAUUUUGGACAAUGGGCGCAAGCCUGAUCCAGCAAUGCCGCGUGCAGGAAGAAGGCCUUCGGGUUGUAAACUGCUUUUGUACGGAACGAAAAGGCUCUGGUUAAUACCUGGGGCUCAUGACGGUACCGUAAGAAUAAGCACCGGCUAACUACGUGCCAGCAGCCGCGGUAAUACGUAGGGUGCAAGCGUUAAUCGGAAUUACUGGGCGUAAAGCGUGCGCAGGCGGUUUUGUAAGACAGGCGUGAAAUCCCCGGGCUCAACCUGGGAAUGGCGCUUGUGACUGCAAAGCUGGAGUGCGGCAGAGGGGGAUGGAAUUCCGCGUGUAGCAGUGAAAUGCGUAGAUAUGCGGAG